This is an RNA transcript of Mus musculus (house mouse), 626 nucleotides long. It is a transcript of the gene named predicted pseudogene 6654, with no coding region annotated. The transcript has a single exon. The record is from RefSeq and is marked validated. NCBI's taxonomy places the organism in Eukaryota, Metazoa, Chordata, Mammalia, Rodentia, Muridae.
UGAGCUCAAGGCCAGCCAGGGUGUACUACACAAUAAAACCAAAGACUUGGCCAAAUGAUUUGUUCUGAGUGGCUCUAGAGACUGAGCUCUCAAGAAAAGGCUGCUCACAAAUAAAACCAGAUCUCCAUCCCAGCAGAUAUACAAACUGCAAUAGAGACACAGGUGCUGAAUGGUUAAGAGCACUGGCUGCGCUCUUUCGAGUCUUGGCUCCAAGAUGACCAAAAAAAGAAGAAACAACGGUCGUGCCAAAAAGGGCCGUGGCCAUGUGCAGCCCAUUCGCUGCACGAACUGUGCCCGGUACGUGCCCAAGGAUAAGGCCAUCAAGAAGUUUGUCAUUCGGAACAUUGUAGAAGCCGCUGCUGUCAGGGACAUAUCUGAAGCAAGCGUCUUCGACGCCUACGUGCUUCCCAAGCUCUAUGUCAAGCUGCAUUAUUGCGUGAGCUGUGCCAUCCAUAGCAAGGUCGUUAGGAAUCGAUCCCGAGAAGCCCAGAAGGACCGGACACCCCCACCACGAUUCAGACCUGCUGGCGCUGCACCUCGACCUCCACCAAAGCCCAUGUAAAGAGGCCGUUUUGUAAGGACAGAAGGAAAACUACCCUGGAAAAAUAAAAUGGAAGUUGUACUUU